RNAcentral lists this RNase P RNA (219 nucleotides) under Giesbergeria sp. RNAcentral describes it as "partial RNase P RNA component class A". It matches the Rfam family "Bacterial RNase P class A", at positions 95 to 367 of the family's 367-position model. From Rfam's summary of the family: Ribonuclease P (RNase P) is a ubiquitous endoribonuclease, found in archaea, bacteria and eukarya as well as chloroplasts and mitochondria. Its best characterised activity is the generation of mature 5'-ends of tRNAs by cleaving the 5'-leader elements of precursor-tRNAs. Lineage: Bacteria; Pseudomonadati; Pseudomonadota; Betaproteobacteria; Burkholderiales; Comamonadaceae. The record is from RNAcentral.
UGAGGUGAGGAUCAGAGCAACAGAGACGAGCCGAUUAAGUUCGGGUGAAACGGGCAAUCUCUACGCGCAGCAAUACCAAGUAGGCCAACGUUGAUGUGGUUCCGCAGAGUUGGCGGGUAGGUAGCAUUGAGCCGUGGUGGCGACACCCGGCCCAGAUUAAUGGCGGUCACAUUCGGGCAACCGAAUGCACAGAAUCCGGCUUAUCGGCGCGCUUCACAC